CCCGGUGUUUAUUCCGACGAGGCCACACCCGUUCCCAUUCCGAACACGGCAGUUAAGCUCGUCAGGGCCGAUGGUAGUUUAUCCGCAAGGGUACGCAAGAGUAGGUCGGCGCCGGGU
This 117-nucleotide ribosomal RNA is filed under the name Elusimicrobia bacterium RIFCSPLOWO2_01_FULL_64_13. Lineage: Bacteria; Pseudomonadati; Elusimicrobiota. The record is from RNAcentral.